The submitters of this non-coding RNA (77 nucleotides) gave its source as unclassified sequences. The record is from Rfam.
GGGGAAAACACUUAGAAUCCCCGUGGACUAGAGUGUGAAUAGCAACGUCUUUGGCCGGACGUCGUGGUUCGGGAAUC